AUGCACCACUCGCCCACUGCGAUUCUGAGUGCGCCGUCCACACCCAACUGACGACUGUUCGCGACGUUUCGGCGCC
Molecule: small RNA, 76 nt
Filed under: Xanthomonas dyei pv. eucalypti
Lineage: Bacteria; Pseudomonadati; Pseudomonadota; Gammaproteobacteria; Lysobacterales; Lysobacteraceae
Also listed under: 3 other names
Description: sX9 sRNA
Rfam family: Xanthomonas sRNA sX9
Source: RNAcentral